RNAcentral lists this ribosomal RNA (253 nucleotides) under uncultured bacterium. RNAcentral describes it as "partial 16S ribosomal RNA". It matches the Rfam family "Bacterial small subunit ribosomal RNA", at positions 524 to 776 of the family's 1533-position model. The record is from RNAcentral.
CACGUAGGGCGCGAGCGUUGUCCGGAAUUAUUGGGCGUAAAGAGCGUGUAGGCGGUUUGGUAGGUCCGUUGUGAAAACUCGAGGCUCAACCUCGAGACGCCGAUGGAAACCAUCAGACUAGAGUCCGGAAGAGGAGAGUGGAAUUCCUGGUGUAGCGGUGAAAUGCGCAGAUAUCAGGAAGAACACCCGUGGCUAAGGCGGCUCUCUAGUACGGUACUGACGCUGAGACGCGAAAGCGUGGGGAGCGAACAGG